CCCUUAGAUGUUCUGGGCCGCACGCGCGCUACACUGACGAUGGCAACGAGUUUUUCCUUCGCCGAAAGAUGUGGGUAAUCUUUUGAAACAUCGUCGUGCUGGGGAUAGAUCAUUGCAAUUUUUGAUCUUGAACGAGGAAUUCCUAGUAAGCGCGAGUCAUCAGCUCGCGUUGAUUACGUCCCUGCCCUUUGUACACACCGCCCGUCGCUACUACCGAUUGAAUGGUUUAGUGAGGACUCCUGAUUGGCGCCGCCGCCCCGGCAACGGAGCAGCGGACUGCCGAAAAGUUGUUCAAACUUGAUCAUUUAGAGGAAGUAAAAGUCGUAACA
This 329-nucleotide ribosomal RNA is filed under the name uncultured eukaryote. RNAcentral's name for it is "partial 18S ribosomal RNA". It matches the Rfam family "Eukaryotic small subunit ribosomal RNA", at positions 1470 to 1796 of the family's 1831-position model. The record is from RNAcentral.